GAAACAAGUUAGCUUUUCUAACAUGAGGGGGAGACAUGAUAAACAAUUGAGAAAAAGUUACACGGGAUGAAUUAUCAUUUGUAUAUAUAGAUCCCCGAAUAUCAUAAUAUGAACCUGAAGAUCAUAAAAGGAUAAUUCAAUUGCAAAAUAUUGCAAAGCAUGCUAUACGCAUUUGCUGACCCAAAGAAAGUAACUAUAUUCUCACUGCAAAUGCUCAUAUU
This 221-nucleotide long non-coding RNA is filed under the name Nicotiana benthamiana. RNAcentral describes it as "long non-coding RNA (NBEN_LNC007050)". The record is from RNAcentral. Lineage: Eukaryota; Viridiplantae; Streptophyta; Magnoliopsida; Solanales; Solanaceae.